Molecule: non-coding RNA, 70 nt
Organism: Rattus norvegicus (Norway rat)
Lineage: Eukaryota; Metazoa; Chordata; Mammalia; Rodentia; Muridae
Source: Rfam
GGGGAUUUAGCUCAGUGGUAGAGCGCUUGCCUAGGAAGCGCAAGGCCCUGGGUUCGAUUCCCCAGCUCCG